GACGAACGCUGGCGGCGUGCUUAACACAUGCAAGUCGAACGGAAAGGCCCUGCUUUUGUGGGGUGCUCGAGUGGCGAACGGGUGAGUAACACGUGAGUAACCUGCCCUUGACUUUGGGAUAACUUCAGGAAACUGGGGCUAAUACCGGAUAGGAGCUCCUGCUGCAUGGUGGGGGUUGGAAAGUUUCGGCGGUUGGGGAUGGACUCGCGGCUUAUCAGCUUGUUGGUGGGGUAGUGGCUUACCAAGGCUUUGACGGGUAGCCGGCCUGAGAGGGUGACCGGCCACAUUGGUCCUGCGAUACGGCCCAGACUCCUACGUGAGACAGCAGUGGGGAAUAUUGCCCAAUGGGCGCAAGCCUGAUGCAGCAACGCCGCGUGCGGGAUGACGGCCUUCUGGUUGUGAACCGCUUUCGCCUAUGACGAAGCGUUAGUGACGGUAAUGGGUAAAUAAGCACCGGCUAACUACGUG
Molecule: ribosomal RNA, 468 nt
Filed under: uncultured bacterium
Lineage: Bacteria
Description: partial 16S ribosomal RNA
Rfam family: Bacterial small subunit ribosomal RNA
Source: RNAcentral